Molecule: long non-coding RNA, 2235 nt
Organism: Athene cunicularia (burrowing owl)
Lineage: Eukaryota; Metazoa; Chordata; Aves; Strigiformes; Strigidae
Source: Ensembl
AUUUGGGCAAAGAGUAUUCAACACAGCAACUGCUCCUUUUUAAUGAGCACAGUUUUUACAAACUAUGUUCCCUACCCUGCUUACCUCUCUAAAUCCAACCUCUCCUCUAAGGUGCUACCAGCUGUACCUGCCGCGGGCUGAACCGGGCUUUCCAGCACUCAGAUGCCUCCUGCAUCUGCCAGGCAGGUUACGUCUACUACGAUGAGAGGGGCAGGGAAGACCCUGACAGCAACAGCGAUCAGGACUGCCAACCUCAGGUGGACGAGCAGUGUGCUCCUGGAGAGGUCCGUCUGGCAUCUACGCGCCAGUGCGUUUUUCCUGACCGAUAUGACUGCUCUCCUUCUUGUGGGCCUGCAGGUGGAGAGAUUAACGCAGAGCUGGGCAUAUGUCACUGCAAGCAGUAUGUCUCUGCUGAGGAGCUCUGUGAUCAGCUGUGUGUGCUGAGAGCCCCACAGAUCUCCUUGGGAUUUGGCAUCAAUCGAAAGCUGCUUCUGAGGAUGAAUGAAGGAGAAGUGAGGGAAGUGCCAAACGUUCUGGGCCCGGAUGAACACGUGCAGAAAAGCCAGCGGGUGCGUUUGGUUCUGUUUAGUCCCAGCGGAGUGCUAGGUUUCAUUGUCUCCAGCACAGAUGUUCUGGAUGCGUUUCUCACGGGAGAUUUUUCGUCAGACCAGUUGCUGCAGAAGGGUCGUCGAGUCCAGAGGGCUUCCUCCAAAGGUAUCCAGGCCUUGCCCCUUGUUCCUAACCCAGUAGUAUGUUUGGAAGCAGGAGACACGAUCCUUUUCCAGCUUCACGUCGAUUCCCACAAUCGCGCAUCCAGCCAUUACCCUGUUUAUCAGAAGCAGCAUCUAUAUAACAGCAACCCAAGCUGGGAUUUUGGAGCCUUCCGAAGGCUAGACCACCUCAUCCAGGAGACUCACCUCAACAUCUCCUGGUUCGCCCAUGUUUUCCUGGAGUCUGGGACGUAUGUUUUCAGGGAUAGGACCAUUCAGGAACAUUUCCUCAUUGUGACGGUGAAUGAAGCAAAUGUGGGCUGUGACCCCAGAGAUGUGUCCUUCCAGCCCUCUUCUCUGUUCCAGCUGGCCAGACAUGGAGUUUUGAAGCAACAGGAUCUGAACUUGGCUCCUAACUGGGCUGCUAUCACAGUGGUCCUCUUUGUUCUGGGCUUCCUAACUGUGGUGCUGACAACUCUGGGUAUAGUGCUCCAGCCUACUGUCCCCAUCAUUAGUCCCCUGGAGAGCUGGAAGCCAAGGUGGAGGAGCCUGGGCGAGCCACAUGUCCCACCAGAGUGCAUCCUCCUUAAAGACAGCCUGCAGUUCUAUCAGACAGUUGGCCCUCGUGGUUCUGGAGAAGAUGCUGGCUUGGGAGAGAAAGGAGCUGUGCAUAAUGCAGAAGGGCGUCCUGCACUGAAGGUUCUGGAGGAUUUCAGUGUUCGCACCCUGUAUGAUAAGCUGGAAGAUCAGAAUUUGCACCUGGCAUCUCAGCUGGCAAAGCACAGGACGGACGUGCUGGUGUUUUACAACGGAAUCAGCCAGUGCAUCCAGAGUCUCAUGAACACGGUGCAAGCGCUGGACUCUGAAGGCCUGAAAAUCUUUUCCAGGCAAAGGAUUUGUUGGCAUAAACAUGGAGAUAGCAGCUGGGCAGCAGCAGGUGUUGAGCAAUGUGAUGAAUGUAGUAACAACUUCCAAGCAGGUGCUCCCUGGCAAGAGGCAAGAGAGUUAAUGAAAGCUCUGGAAAUGCUGCUUGGGAACGCUCGGUACAAGAAUGUAACUGUGAAACGAGAGAUGGAACAGAAGCUCCAAGGACAGGACGUGGUGGCAGUUGCACCCUCACUGGACAGCUUAGCCAGUGAAAGUGAAUCACAAGUAGUGGAAGGGCAGGAUCAUGAGCUGCCUCAGCAGUGUGAGCUCUUCAGUAGGAAAGACGUGUUGUUCAGCUUCCCUGGACAUGAAGAACAUGGUUUAGAUCUUCAGCUGGCUUACCUGACUGAGUUGGAGGUGGAGGCCCUGAUAGCAGCUUCCCCCCUUGCCAAGACCCUGUGUGAGAUCAAGCAAGCUUUGGUGAAUCUGCAGCAACCCUCAGACCUCGUAAAUCCAGGUAACAAAUCUUGAGGCUGUAUUGCAGUUUCUGGCUCCUUGUAAUGGAGAAGAAGUAAGAUUACAAAAUGGGAGGGAGACAAGUUGUCUCUCAUCCGUGGUGCCCCAAUAAAAUGCACACACAGAUGUCUGCUGCUGAGCA